This is a non-coding RNA of Sesamum indicum (sesame), 1146 nucleotides long. The record is from RefSeq and is a predicted model, not a curated record. Lineage: Eukaryota; Viridiplantae; Streptophyta; Magnoliopsida; Lamiales; Pedaliaceae.
ACCAUCAUCUUCAACCCGAGAAUAUGUAGUGAUGUUGAGCUGGAAGUUGGCAGCCUGAUUCUCAUACACCCUCCUUGGUCUUGCUUGUUCGACAUUCCCUCCUUGGGGGUAAAUGCGACGUCUCCUCAAGAGAAUUUGUGAAAGAAAUCCCCAAUUCUUCGAUGGCAUCCGCUGCGAAAUCCCUAAUCCAAACCCUCCGUCUUCACAUAAAGAAACCCUGGGAAAUCACCGGCCCUGUAGCUGAUCCAGAAUAUCGUUCCGCCGUACAGAAGGCUACGGAAUACCGCGUCUUCUGCCCCGCCACCGUCCCCGCUAAAGCCAUCGUCCCCACUUCCUUACCAGAAACCGUUUACGACAUCAAGUACUUCCCUCGCGACCAGCGCCGCAACCGACCCCCAAUAAAACGCACCGUUUUGGAGAAGGCUGACGUGGAGAAGAUGAUGAAGGAGAAGACUUUUGAUCUGACUGAUUUCCCUAGGCCGUACUUGACUGCGAAAGUCAUCGAGGAUGAUAAUGCUAUCGGUGGCGGAUACCAGAAAUAAAAUUUCCGGGGUUUUAAUCUGCAUCCUCCUUUAUUGCCAAUCCCGACAGGAUUAUGAAGGAACUUGAAUUUCUUGAAGAUAUUCAUGCUUGGCUGUUCGCACUACGUAUCAGAAAUCAUAUUGGGAGGAUAGCUUGCGUAUGAGAAUGAAAGGGGUGGCAAGGACUUUGACCAUCAUCUUCAACCCGAGAAUAUGUAGUGAUGUUGAGCUGGAAGUUGGCAGCCUGAUUCUCAUACACCCUCCUUGGUCUUGCUUGUUCGACAUUCCCUCCUUGGGGGUAAAUGCGACGUCUCCUCAAGAGAAUUUGCUAUGAGACGUAAUCAUUUCAUUUCAAGUUUCUUGUGCUUACAUGAUGACAUGUCAUACGAUGCGACACAACGCUGUUGAAGAUGAUCUUGACACAAGAAAAGAUGUGUCGAGAAACAACGCUAUUGAAGAUGAUCUCGACACAAGAAAAGACCUUUUCUGUUGAAGAUGAUCUUGACACAAGUCCAAGGACAUUUGAAGCCCUCUGUUGUAGAAACUAGUCUUGCCUAUUGUAAAUUAGAAUACUAAUGUAAAGACUAUUUUUUUAGCCAAGGAAAUAAAAGUUUUGAUCAAAGAA